Molecule: long non-coding RNA, 975 nt
Filed under: Rattus norvegicus (Norway rat)
Lineage: Eukaryota; Metazoa; Chordata; Mammalia; Rodentia; Muridae
Description: long non-coding RNA NONRATT031110
Source: RNAcentral
UGGCUUCAUCUAGAGAAAGUUUCCAUGAGGCUUCUAAUGUUUUACAGCUAAUGAAGUUGUAGUGAAAGUGAAGAUGUUUUUAUCCAAAGGUUUCAUGUUGGUGUUGUAAUCUCCUAAAAAUGUCAUAGUUAAGCCUUUGAAUAUGCACUUCAUGGUGUUGAUGCGAUCUUGGUGUUACCUAAGCUGACUUUGAAGUUAACCAUUGAAUGAAUCAUCUUUCCCCUGUAUACGUGAAGCUACACUGUGUUAUUCCUGAUUUCCAUGUGGUUUGAGCUACAGUGUAGCAGCAUAUUGAUCUACCUUGAAUCCUAUGGUGAUGUAGUUGAAGUUUUACUAUAGUGGACUUGUGCACUUAGCACAUAUGAUACCGUAUAAUGUAUUUCAGUAAGCAUCAGACAAUUCUACAUACUUCAAGAAAAUAAUUUCUCAUUUUAAAUAGGAAACAAUAUUGAUGAUUGACACAGAAAUUUGAGUACAUUUAAAAAACAUUUAUAAUAAACUGGCCAAAUUGGCAUUAUUAAAUUUAUGAUUCAGAACCAGUGUGUAAUGUGUAUUGUUUUCAUCAAAUGCUGAAAAUUUAAAAAGUCAUUUUAUAUUGUUAAGGAAAAUACCAUUAACUACUACUACUGACAGAAAAAAUUCAUGAAUGUAAACUGGAGAGUAUCAGCUUUGUUUAGUGACUAGAAAUGUAUCACUUGUGUGUGCUAGGUGUACUGUUUGCUGUGCAUUUUUUUUUGCUUAGUUCAGAGAGAGCUGAUUACUGAGUAUGUGAUUUAGGCUAGGAGACAUGUAACAUUGGAAUUUAAUAAAACCAACUGUAUGUAUUCUCUUGAAAAUGUAAGUGAUCUUUAUCCAUGCACAAAUAUCUGUUUCCUACAUGUGAUAUAUAAAUUCUGUAUUCUUAUUUGAGAUGUCUUUUUUAAAAUGAUUGGACAAUAUUAAACAACAGCUGAUCUGAUAUCGCACAACAGCAUU